AUUGAACGCUGGCGGCAGGCCUAACACAUGCAAGUCGAACGAGUGGCGGACGGGUGAGUAAUGUCUGGGCAACUGCCCGAUGGAGGGGGAUAACUACUGGAAACGGUAGCUAAUACCGCAUACCAUCGGAUGUGCCCAGGGGGGGUUAGGUAGUAGGUGGGGUAACGGCUCACCUAGGCGACGCUCCCGAGCUGGUCUGAGAGGAUGACCAGCCACACUGGAACUGAGACACGGUCCAGACUCCUACGUUAGGCAGCAGUGGGGAAUAUUGCACAAUGGGCGCAAGCCUGAUGCAGCCAUGCCGCGUGUAUGAAGAAGGCCUUCGGGUUGGAAAGUACUUUCAGCGGGGAGGCGUUACCCGCAGAAGAAGCACCGGCUAACUCCGUGCCAGCAGCCGCGGUAAUUC
RNAcentral lists this ribosomal RNA (406 nucleotides) under uncultured bacterium. RNAcentral's name for it is "partial 16S ribosomal RNA". It matches the Rfam family "Bacterial small subunit ribosomal RNA", at positions 30 to 526 of the family's 1533-position model. The record is from RNAcentral.